UGACAAUGUAUAUGUAUACAUAUAUAGAAGAAAGGAGUGGGGAAAAAAUCAUUUUAACACGAAUUUUAACGAUUUAAAAAGUGAAAAAGAUUCAUUCCAUAACAGAAGUUAAUCGCGUAUAGCUUCGUUUAAAGAAAAUUGACUUUAAACAACGGAAGUUCCAUUGUCUGUUUAUAUAUCAACACGUUAUAUCCAGUCUGUGUUACGUCUUCGGACACGGAGUUAUCCAACAUUUAAAGUUUAUCGAAGGUCUUUUCGCUAUCUUCGCCAUUCCUGACUACUAAAUAUGGAAAGCAGAGGACAUAACCAAAAUUGGAUUGGACGUUGCCAAACAUAGCUCCUUGUAUUUCCCGAGUUGGCAGCUUGCAGCGUACUUGUCCUCUGAGCUCACUCUCAGCAAAGACCCGAUUUGGAACGGUUUUGUUCCAUUCUAUCAAUAAUAAACAAUUUAAAUUCUUAUCGCGGGACCCUUUAAUAGAUAAGGGCGAUGGACAGAAUGGUACCGAAUCUGAUUUGGCAGAUGAUAUAGCAUUUUUGCAUUCGUCCUGUUGGUUUUACUACCGCAAUAAUUACUUUCUUAUCUGUUAAAAAUGUACUAAUUUAAAUUUUAUGUCUUCAUUUAUAAUAUUUACAAUUUUGGUUAAAAUCCCUUUAAAUGUUGAACGACUUGGAAAGGGUGUACUCGUAGCUCGUUCCAAUUCUCCUUCUUUGGUUUACUGCCAAAUACCGCAAACACCUUUUAAAGUAGAAAAUCUAUUUUCAUCUUUGAAAUGUCUUCAAAUUAUCUAUUAUGUACUUAUUUUUAAUACCUUUGUUAAUAUUUUUUUUCCUCCUUCGCGAC
This 841-nucleotide long non-coding RNA is filed under the name Androctonus crassicauda. Lineage: Eukaryota; Metazoa; Arthropoda; Arachnida; Scorpiones; Buthidae. The record is from RNAcentral.